Molecule: ribosomal RNA, 440 nt
Filed under: uncultured bacterium
Lineage: Bacteria
Description: partial 16S ribosomal RNA
Rfam family: Bacterial small subunit ribosomal RNA
Source: RNAcentral
CCUACGGGUGGCAGCAGUGGGGGAUAUUGCACAAUGGGGGAAACCCUGAUGCAGCGACGCCGCGUGUGGGAAGACGGUCCUCUGGAUUGUAAACUACUUUCCCCAGGGACGAAAAUGACGGUACCUGGGGUGGAAGCUCCGGCUAACUACGUGCCAGCAGCCGCGGUAAUACGGUGGGAGCGAGCGUUGUCCGGAAUUACUGGGUGUAAAGGGAGCGUAGGCGGGGAUGAAAGUUGGGUGUCAAAACUACCGGCUCAACUGGGAGUCGCACGCAAAACUGCAGCUCUGGAGUGAAGGAGAGGCAGGCAGAAUUCCUAGUGUAGCGGUGAAAUGCGUAGAUAUUAGGAGGAACACCAGUGGCGAAGGCGGCCUGCUGGGCUGUUACUGACGCUGAGGCUCGAAAGUGUGGGGAGCAAACAGGAUUAGAUACCCCAGUAGUC